CUGACAGUAUGCGUGUUAUCUUCAUCCUCCACCAACCUUUGUCCCAGGUGCUUGCGCAAUAGCUGAAUACGCAGACACACCCUCACUCUCUCCUCCUUCUCUCUCUGUGUGUCUCUCAAUCUCGCUCUACUUCCUCUUCUUGUGUCCUCUCCAGUCCUGCCCUGCACUGCUUCAUUCGUGUCGACUGCCCAGAGUCCGCGAAUACAACCCUGCUACAACCACACACACAGAGACGUUGUUUGACAUCAUCUUAUCGUUCCUGUCCACUGGAGGAAGGAGAGAGUUCCAACCAAUCCCUGACAAGAAGAAGACAUUCCGAUCCCAGCCACAUUCCAGAACCCUGUGGAACCCUUGUUGAAGCAUGUCCCUGUACAGCUUUGGGCUGGAGCCUCUCUCCUGCCAUGCCUGGAAUAAGGACAGGACACAGAUUGCUGUCAGCCCCAACAGCAGUGUGGUGAUCAUCUAUGAGAAGAAGGGGAACGAGUGGGCCAAGAUCCACGAGCUGACUGAGCACAGUGGACGAAUCACAGGCAUCGACUGGGCUCCGGAUUCGAACCGCAUCGUGACGUGUGCAUCGGACCGUAAUGCGUACGUGUGGACACUGAAGGACAAGGUGUGGAAGCCCACUCUGGUGUUGGUGAGGAUCAACCGGGCUGCUACCUUUGUCAAGUGGUCCCCUCUGGAGAAUAAGUUUGCCCUGGGCAGCGGAGCUCGCCUCAUCUCUGUCUGCUACUUCGAGAAGGAGAACGACUGGUGGCUCAGUAAGCACAUAAAGAAGAGCAUCCGGUCCACGGUGAUGUGUCUGGACUGGCACCCCAACAACAUCCUGCUGGCUGCUGGGUCCUCUGACUUCCACUGCAGGAUCUUCUCUGCCUACAUCAAGGAAAUCGAGGACAAGCCAGGCCCGACAGCGUGGGGGGCUAAGAUGCCAUUUGGGGAGAUGCUGCUGGAGACCAAGGACUGUGGAGGUUGGGUACACAGUGUCUCCUUCUCCCCCAGCGGAGACCACCUGGCCUGGGUCGCUCACAACAGCAGCAUCAGUGUGGCCGACGCCACCCAGGGGAAAGAGGUGACUCAGCUGACAACGGACCGCCUACCUCUAGUGAGCGUGCUCUAUGUGAGCCCCACAGAGAUGGUUGCCGCGGGCCAUGACUGCUGUCCGUUUCAGUUCUCCUAUAAGGGCCCAGGCAGUCUGAAGUUUGUUAAGAAGCUGGACAUCCCCAAGCAGACCUCUAGGGGCAGCAUGUCCGCCAUGCAACACUUCCGCAAUCUGGAUAAGAAGGCUACUGAUGAUGAGAGCAACGAGCUGGGCUGCCUGCACCAGAACAGCAUCACGUGAGGAGAGAGGGAGUGUUCAGCUGUGUAUCGUGUCAGGAACUAAGGCCCACGUGGACAAGUACAGCAGUGUGGGUCUGGACGGAGCUAUGGUCCUCUGGGACUUCAAGCACUGAGUUCAUGGAGGUUGCUAGAGCCAUAUGCUGUGUCUUGCCAUCUGUGCGGUCAGCAUCACUCCAGCUGACCAUGGGACUCACCACUACCAGUUGUUAUUAACAUCUACAUUAAGCAGUUAGUUUCACCGGGGUUGGGGUCAAUUCCAUUUCAAUUCCAGUCAAUUCGGAAAGUAAAUCAAAUUCCAAUUCCAAUUUUAAAAAAUGUUCCUCAUUGAAAAGUAUUGAAGAGAAUUGGAAUUUCAGUGUACUUUCUGAAUUGACUGGAAUUGAAAUGGAAUUGACCCCAACACAGAGUCACACCACUGUCAGGUGACCUAUUAUUUUACACAGAUAGAUGUGUUAUCAUGUGUAUUCAUUUUCAACUGGAACAGUAGACGCUUCUGCAGCUUCAAGAUGUUUUGCAAUAAAUCAUGUUGCUUUGUGCUGGGUUUCAAUCAACGAAUCAAUAUUUUGGAGUAAAUAAACAUGCUUUCUACA
Salmo salar (Atlantic salmon) is the source of this 1928-nucleotide non-coding RNA. Lineage: Eukaryota; Metazoa; Chordata; Actinopteri; Salmoniformes; Salmonidae. The record is from RefSeq and is a predicted model, not a curated record.